GAUCCCACAGGGUAAGCAAAAUGCCAGAAGGUAUCUGCAGCCCAGUAGUUACCUCAGAGAUGGAGCAGGAGUGUACUGGGGGCAUCUAGACAAGACUCAAGCUGAACAAGAGAAGAGGAGAGGAGCAGUCUAGAAUGAGGAACCAGGGUUCCAUGAUAUUGUCACUGAUGGAAUGGUGUUUCUCUUUUGUGGUGGGGCAAAGGCUGGCCUUGAACUCUCAAUCUCCCAGAGAGUCAUUAACGUACUCAAAAUGGAGGAACGUAUGGAAUGAACAUCUAAGGCCCACAGGUAGAAUGAUAUGCAAAGGUUUGUUGACUCCGGUCCAGUUCACCUCCAGAAGCUCCAGAAUCAACCCAGGAGGAAGAACCGUGUGGACGCAGAA
Mus musculus (house mouse) is the source of this 382-nucleotide long non-coding RNA. RefSeq annotates it as predicted gene, 31210. NCBI's taxonomy places the organism in Eukaryota, Metazoa, Chordata, Mammalia, Rodentia, Muridae. The transcript has 3 exons. The record is from RefSeq and is a predicted model, not a curated record.